RNAcentral lists this ribosomal RNA (2773 nucleotides) under Shigella flexneri. Its description in RNAcentral is "bacterial LSU rRNA". It matches the Rfam family "Bacterial large subunit ribosomal RNA". Lineage: Bacteria; Pseudomonadati; Pseudomonadota; Gammaproteobacteria; Enterobacterales; Enterobacteriaceae. The record is from RNAcentral.
AGCGUACACGGUGGAUGCCCUGGCAGUCAGAGGCGAUGAAGGACGUGCUAAUCUGCGAUAAGCGUCGGUAAGGUGAUAUGAACCGUUAUAACCGGCGAUUUCCGAAUGGGGAAACCCAGUGUGAUUCGUCACACUAUCAUUAACUGAAUCCAUAGGUUAAUGAGGCGAACCGGGGGAACUGAAACAUCUAAGUACCCCGAGGAAAAGAAAUCAACCGAGAUUCCCCCAGUAGCGGCGAGCGAACGGGGAGCAGCCCAGAGCCUGAAUCAGUGUGUGUGUUAGUGGAAGCGUCUGGAAAGGCGUGCGAUACAGGGUGACAGCCCCGUACACAAAAAUGCACAUACUGUGAGCUCGAUGAGUAGGGCGGGACACGUGGUAUCCUGUCUGAAUAUGGGGGGACCAUCCUCCAAGGCUAAAUACUCCUGACUGACCGAUAGUGAACCAGUACCGUGAGGGAAAGGCGAAAAGAACCCCGGCGAGGGGAGUGAAAAAGAACCUGAAACCGUGUACGUACAAGCAGUGGGAGCACGCUUAGGCGUGUGACUGCGUACCUUUUGUAUAAUGGGUCAGCGACUUAUAUUCUGUAGCAAGGUUAACCGAAUAGGGGAGCCGAAGGGAAACCGAGUCUUAACUGGGCGUUAAGUUGCAGGGUAUAGACCCGAAACCCGGUGAUCUAGCCAUGGGCAGGUUGAAGGUUGGGUAACACUAACUGGAGGACCGAACCGACUAAUGUUGAAAAAUUAGCGGAUGACUUGUGGCUGGGGGUGAAAGGCCAAUCAAACCGGGAGAUAGCUGGUUCUCCCCGAAAGCUAUUUAGGUAGCGCCUCGUGAAUUCAUCUCCGGGGGUAGAGCACUGUUUCGGCAAGGGGGUCAUCCCGACUUACCAACCCGAUGCAAACUGCGAAUACCGGAGAAUGUUAUUACGGGAGACACACGGCGGGUGCUAACGUCCGUCGUGAAGAGGGAAACAACCCAGACCGCCAGCUAAGGUCCCAAAGUCAUGGUUAAGUGGGAAACGAUGUGGGAAGGCCCAGACAGCCAGGAUGUUGGCUUAGAAGCAGCCAUCAUUUAAAGAAAGCGUAAUAGCUCACUGGUCGAGUCGGCCUGCGCGGAAGAUGUAACGGGGCUAAACCAUGCACCGAAGCUGCGGCAGCGACGCUUAUGCGUUGUUGGGUAGGGGAGCGUUCUGUAAGCCUGUGAAGGUGUGCUGUGAGGUAUGCUGGAGGUAUCAGAAGUGCGAAUGCUGACAUAAGUAACGAUAAAGCGGGUGAAAAGCCCGCUCGCCGGAAGACCAAGGGUUCCUGUCCAACGUUAAUCGGGGCAGGGUGAGUCGACCCCUAAGGCGAGGCCGAAAGGCGUAGUCGAUGGGAAACAGGUUAAUAUUCCUGUACUUGGUGUUACUGCGAAGGGGGGACGGAGAAGGCUAUGUUGGCCGGGCGACGGUUGUCCCGGUUUAAGCGUGUAGGCUGGUUUUCCAGGCAAAUCCGGAAAAUCAAGGCCGAGGCGUGAUGACGAGGCACUACGGUGCUGAAGCAACAAAUGCCCUGCUUCCAGGAAAAGCCUCUAAGCAUCAGGUAACAUCAAAUCGUACCCCAAACCGACACAGGUGGUCAGGUAGAGAAUACCAAGGCGCUUGAGAGAACUCGGGUGAAGGAACUAGGCAAAAUGGUGCCGUAACUUCGGGAGAAGGCACGCUGAUACGUAGGUGAAGCGACUUGCUCGUGGAGCUGAAAUCAGUCGAAGAUACCAGCUGGCUGCAACUGUUUAUUAAAAACACAGCACUGUGCAAACACGAAAGUGGACGUAUACGGUGUGACGCCUGCCCGGUGCCGGAAGGUUAAUUGAUGGGGUUAGCGCAAGCGAAGCUCUUGAUCGAAGCCCCGGUAAACGGCGGCCGUAACUAUAACGGUCCUAAGGUAGCGAAAUUCCUUGUCGGGUAAGUUCCGACCUGCACGAAUGGCGUAAUGAUGGCCAGGCUGUCUCCACCCGAGACUCAGUGAAAUUGAACUCGCUGUGAAGAUGCAGUGUACCCGCGGCAAGACGGAAAGACCCCGUGAACCUUUACUAUAGCUUGACACUGAACAUUGAGCCUUGAUGUGUAGGAUAGGUGGGAGGCUUUGAAGUGUGGACGCCAGUCUGCAUGGAGCCGACCUUGAAAUACCACCCUUUAAUGUUUGAUGUUCUAACGUGGACCCGUGAUCCGGGUUGCGGACAGUGUCUGGUGGGUAGUUUGACUGGGGCGGUCUCCUCCUAAAGAGUAACGGAGGAGCACGAAGGUUGGCUAAUCCUGGUCGGACAUCAGGAGGUUAGUGCAAUGGCAUAAGCCAGCUUGACUGCGAGCGUGACGGCGCGAGCAGGUGCGAAAGCAGGUCAUAGUGAUCCGGUGGUUCUGAAUGGAAGGGCCAUCGCUCAACGGAUAAAAGGUACUCCGGGGAUAACAGGCUGAUACCGCCCAAGAGUUCAUAUCGACGGCGGUGUUUGGCACCUCGAUGUCGGCUCAUCACAUCCUGGGGCUGAAGUAGGUCCCAAGGGUAUGGCUGUUCGCCAUUUAAAGUGGUACGCGAGCUGGGUUUAGAACGUCGUGAGACAGUUCGGUCCCUAUCUGCCGUGGGCGCUGGAGAACUGAGGGGGGCUGCUCCUAGUACGAGAGGACCGGAGUGGACGCAUCACUGGUGUUCGGGUUGUCAUGCCAAUGGCACUGCCCGGUAGCUAAAUGCGGAAGAGAUAAGUGCUGAAAGCAUCUAAGCACGAAACUUGCCCCGAGAUGAGUUCU